ACCAACGUCUGAAUGAAAAUGACAUAUUGAUAUACGUGACUUGUGACCAUGAUUCAAGUUAUAUUUUUUAAUGCAACUAGGGUAGGCCCGCCCUACGGGCGGGUUAGCAAAUAAACAAAUAAAAUAAAUUACUUAAAAUAUUUAUCUUAUUUUAAACUGAAAGUAAAAUUAAUUUUCAUGCUUUUUUAUUAAAACAAUUUAAUUAUUUAUUUUAAAACCGUAAACUUAUUAAUUAUUAAAAGUUUUAGAAAAGAUGUAAUGAAUAGUACUUUUCAUCUGUAUAUAUAAAAAUAACUUCAUAUCCAAUAGUUUUAAGGAAAAUUUGAUCACAUAUACAUAACUAUCACCAAUUAAGUUUCUACAGAUAACAACUUUUAGUCUAUGAUAUUUUUGUAAUAAUUUCCAUAUUAUCCUUGACACAAACAGUAGGAAACUAUGUAGUUACUGUAAAAUAUUAUGCAGUGUAUUUGUUAUCAUAAGUUAACUAUAAAAAUUAUUACUCAUUCCGUUCGGAUUUACUUGACGUUCUAAAUAAUUUUUUUGUCAAUAUAUUCGAAGUUCUCAGAAUUCUAUGUAAAGAAUAAAGAAUGAUAAAAUAUGACUUUUUCUAUCUUUGUAAUUAAUGAUCUUUAGUGGGAUGAUAUAAACCUAAUUUAGCAUUGAAAACUAACGAAAAGAUUAAAAUAGACAUUACAUUAACUUUUUUAAUUUAUUUGCAGCCAUCAUGUAAUUCCAAGCGGAAGAAAGUACUAUUUUUAUUAAAAAAAUGUAAGAAUUAUUACUCGAACUUAUUCAGAAAACUGACAGUUGUUUUUUUUUAUUUCUUUGAAUUGGAUUUUGAUCUAAACGUAAUUAAAUAACUCUAUUCAAUAAAGGUAAAAAAAAAACAUUAUAGAACUCUCAAAUUUUAUGAAAAUGGGGAAAGUAAAAGAUUUUUGUUUCGUUCUUACGUAAGUGCAAAUAAAUAAUUGAGAUGUGGUGAAUAAUCAGCUAAAUUAGCCGGUAAUAUUGCUUAUUACACAUAAUACAAAAAAUAAAACAAAAAGUUUGAACAUCGUACAAUUUGUUUUUUAUUUGCUUGAAAAUGUAAAUUUAAAUAUCUGAUCGGACGGUUGCAUAACCAUUUACUCUUUCUUUUUAUAUUUUCGUCACUAUCAUCUUAAAAUGCCAGAAGAGAAAUUAACUUCGCCGUGUCAAGCAUAUGUCACACAGAAAAUAUUAUAGUUGGACACGUGUGUAGUCUGAAAAUGAGGGGCAUCUUUAGCUGGAUUUAAAGUUUAUGCAUCUUAUUUGGGCCUCAAUGAUAAGCCCGAUUUGUUGUAACCAAAUUGUCCUUUAGAGCCUUAACAACGACAAAAAAAGGAAGCGACUUCGUCUGUUAUCAGCUUCCUCCACCCCGUGAAGCUUCUUCUCCGUCCUCCUCCAACUUUCUUUACCAAGACAAAAACAAAUCGAAAUCAAAACUCGCAGAGAGAGAGAGACAGAGACAGAUUCAGAGAGCGAGAGAGAGAGAGAUUUGCCCGUGACAUAGCGAGGCAGGGAGAGAGAGAGAGAGAUCCGGCGUGGCGCAGAGAGGAGAGAGGCGGUGAGAGAGAGGAGACCGGUGGUGGUGACUCUCGUCUUCUCUACCGCUCAGUCUCCGUCAGUCUUUUCUCCAGCUCUUUCCCGUUUCAGAUCUAAUGAAGAAUCGUGAAAGUCCCCGGCGGCAUCGAAGAAGAAGAAGGAUUUGCCCUUUUUUUUUGUGAAUCCGUAUUAUGAUUAGAAGCCCAUCACGAAUUAUAACAAAAUAAAGCCCAAGAAGAAUUCACUUAAAUGAAACGAUGCCGAGAGAAGCGUGGACACGUGUCAGCUCUAUAAAAAAGGAGUUUCCACGUGGACAGCCUAGGAGGGAGGCAAACAUAUUUAUAUAUAUAUAGAUAUUCCUGUGGUUUUUCUACACAAAGCUAGCUCUUCCUCUAACCAAUUUUUGAGGUUUUAAAACAAGAAACGUGUGGAAGAGAUUUUAUUAUAAACCGGAUAAGCUGCAAAAAAAAAAAGACAAUGUAAAAUCACACAUAUAUAUAAUAUAAGUUUCUAUUAGAAUAUACAAAAUCUCCUCCUACCACACACUUAACAUAUCAGUGAUUUAUUAUGUUUUUAUAUUGAAUAAUUUUUACGUGCAUUCAAUUAAACUUAGAACUUUUGAUAUUUAGAGGGUGGGGAAAAUGCAAUAAGUGAGAGGUGAAAAAUGGUAUGGUCAGACCGGAGACAUGUG
Molecule: long non-coding RNA, 2254 nt
Organism: Brassica rapa (field mustard)
Lineage: Eukaryota; Viridiplantae; Streptophyta; Magnoliopsida; Brassicales; Brassicaceae
Source: RefSeq, a predicted model, not a curated record